GGGGUUGUGGCCGAGUGGUUAAGGCGCUACGUUUAGGUGCUGUAUAGCAUAAUCCGUAGUGGGAAACCGCGUGCGUUCGAACCGCACCAACCUCA
RNAcentral lists this transfer RNA (95 nucleotides) under Diplodia seriata. It matches the Rfam family "tRNA". From Rfam's summary of the family: Transfer RNA (tRNA) molecules are approximately 80 nucleotides in length. Their secondary structure includes four short double-helical elements and three loops (D, anti-codon, and T loops). The record is from Rfam by way of RNAcentral. Lineage: Eukaryota; Fungi; Ascomycota; Dothideomycetes; Botryosphaeriales; Botryosphaeriaceae.